GAGCGGUAGAGUGACUUCGGUUGCUUGAGAGCGGCGCACGGGUGAGUAACGCGUACAUGACCUACCUUUAAGACUGGGAUAGCCCUGGGAAACUGGGAUUAAUACCGGAUGUGAUAAUACGUAUAGAGAUGUAUUAUUAAAGUUGAGGCGCUUAGAGAUGGAUGUGCGUCUGAUUAGCUAGUUGGUAGGGUAACGGCCUACCAAGGCUACGACCAGUAGGGGGCGUGAGAGCGUGGCCCCCCACACGGGUACUGAGACACGGACCCGACUCCUACGGGAGGCAGCAGUAAGGAAUAUUGGUCAAUGGACGGAAGUCUGAACCAGCCAUCCCGCGUGCAGGAUGACUGCCCUAUGGGUUGUAAACUGCUUUUAGCAGAGACGAAACGCCUUCAUUUAUGAGGGUCUGACGGUAUCUGCAGAAUAAGCACCGGCUAACUCCGUGCCAGCAGCCGCGGUAAUACGGAGGGUGCAAGCGUUAUCCGGAAUCACUGGGUUUAAAGGGUGCGUAGGCGGAUAUUUAAGUCAGUGGUGAAAUCUUGUCGCUUAACGAUAAAAUUGCCAUUGAUACUGAAUGUCUUGAAUUGGGUUGAGGUUAGCGGAAUGUGACAUGUAGCGGUGAAAUGCAUAGAUAUGUCAUGGAACACCAAUUGCGAAAGCAGCUAGCUGGGCCUUGAUUGACGCUGAGCACGAAAGCGUGGGU
RNAcentral lists this ribosomal RNA (700 nucleotides) under uncultured bacterium. RNAcentral describes it as "bacterial SSU rRNA". It matches the Rfam family "Bacterial small subunit ribosomal RNA", at positions 64 to 766 of the family's 1533-position model. The record is from RNAcentral.